UGAAUACGAGACGCUAAGGCGUCGAAGUAGUGUAUGUCAUACUUCCAAGAAAAGCUUGCACUGUCAUAGAUAAAAAACGCCUGUACCAUAACCGACACAGGUGGGUAGGUAGAGUAUACUAAGGGGCGCGAGAUAACUCUCUCUAAGGAACUCGGCAAAAUAACUCCGUAACUUCGGGAGAAGGAGUGCCUUAUUCGUAAGGUUGCAAUAACAAGAUCCAAGCAACUGUUUAUCAAAAACACAGGUCUCCGCUAAGUCGUAAGACGAUGUAUGGGGACUGACGCCUGCCCAGUGCCAGAAGGUCAAAGAAGUUGGUUAGCAAUUGCGAAGCUGAUAACUGAAGCCCUGGUGAACGGCGGCCGUAACUAUAACGGUCCUAAGGUAGCGAAAUUCCUUGUCGGGUAAGUUCCGACCCGCACGAAAGGCGUAAUGAUUUGGAUACUGUCUCGGAGAGGGGCUCGGUGAAAUAGACUUGUCUGUGAAGAUGCGGACUACCUGCACCAGGACAGAAAGACCCUAUGAAGCUUUACUGUAACUUGAAAUUGAAAUUGGACUUUAUUCGCGCAGUAUAGGUGGGAGGCGUUGAUUAUAAUCUUGUGGGAUUAUUGGAGCCAUCAGUGAGAUACCACUCUUGUAAUGUUAGAUUUCUAACUUUGAAUCAUUAUCUGGUCAAAGAACAGUUUCAGGCGGGCAGUUUGACUGGGGCGGUCGCCUCCUAAACGGUAACGGAGGCGUACAAAGGUUUCCUCUGAACGGUUAGAAAUCGUAUCUAGAGUGUAAAGGCAUAAGGAAGCUUGACUGUGAGACCUACAAGUCGAGCAGGGACGAAAGUCGGUCUUAGUGAUCUGACGGUACUGAGUGGAAAGGCCGUCACUCAACGGAUAAAAGUUACUCUAAGGAUAACAGGCUGAUCUCCCCCAAGAGUUCACAUCGACGGGGAGGUUUGGCACCUCGAUGUCGGCUCAUCGCAUCCUGGGGCGGUAGUACGUCCCAAGGGUUGGGCUGUUCGCCCAUGAAAGCGGUACGCGAGCUGGGUUCAGAACGUCGUGAGACAGUUCGGUCCAUAUCCGGUGUAGGCGUUAGAAUAUUGAGAGGAGCCUUCUUUAGUACGAGAGGACCGAGAAGGACAUACCUCUGGUGUACCAGUUAUCGUGCCAACGGUAAACGCUGGGUAGCUAUGUAUGGAGUGGAUAACCGCUGAAAGCAUCUAAGUGGGAAGCCCACCUCAAGAUAAGUAUUCUCAUC
RNAcentral lists this ribosomal RNA (1245 nucleotides) under metagenome. RNAcentral describes it as "bacterial LSU rRNA". It matches the Rfam family "Bacterial large subunit ribosomal RNA", at positions 1564 to 2818 of the family's 2925-position model. The record is from RNAcentral.